UCCGGCUUAUCACCGGCAGUUCCCCUAAAGUGCCCACCACGACGUGCUGGCAACCAAGGGUGUGGGUUGCGCUCGUUGCCGGACUUAACCGAACAUCUCACGACACGAGCUGACGACAACCAUGCACCACCUGUAAACCGGCCACAAGUGGCUGACACAUCUCUGCAUCAUUCCGGUUCAUGUCAAGCCUUGGUAAGGUUCUUCGCGUUGCAUCGAAUUAAACCACAUGCUCCACCGCUUGUGCGGGCCCCCGUCAAUUCCUUUGAGUUUUAGCCUUGCGGCCGUACUCCCCAGGCGGGGCACUUAAUGCGUUAGCUACGGCACGGAACCCGUCGAUAGGGUCCCACACCUAGUGCCCAACGUUUACGGCGUGGACUAC
RNAcentral lists this unclassified non-coding RNA (379 nucleotides) under uncultured Actinomycetes bacterium. RNAcentral's name for it is "uncultured actinobacterium contains 16S-23S intergenic spacer region". The record is from RNAcentral. Lineage: Bacteria; Bacillati; Actinomycetota; Actinomycetes.